This 525-nucleotide ribosomal RNA is filed under the name uncultured bacterium. Its description in RNAcentral is "bacterial SSU rRNA". It matches the Rfam family "Bacterial small subunit ribosomal RNA", at positions 984 to 1509 of the family's 1533-position model. The record is from RNAcentral.
ACAUCCAGCGAACUUUCCAGAGAUGGAUUGGUGCCUUCGGGAACGCUGAGACAGGUGCUGCAUGGCUGUCGUCAGCUCGUGUUGUGAAAUGUUGGGUUAAGUCCCGCAACGAGCGCAACCCUUAUCCUUUGUUGCCAGCGAUUCGGUCGGGAACUCAAAGGAGACUGCCGGUGAUAAACCGGAGGAAGGUGGGGAUGACGUCAAGUCAUCAUGGCCCUUACGAGUAGGGCUACACACGUGCUACAAUGGCGCAUACAAAGAGAAGCGACCUCGCGAGAGCAAGCGGACCUCAUAAAGUGCGUCGUAGUCCGGAUCGGAGUCUGCAACUCGACUCCGUGAAGUCGGAAUCGCUAGUAAUCGUGGAUCAGAAUGCCACGGUGAAUAUGUUCCCGGGCCUUGUACACACCGCCCGUCACACCAUGGGAGUGGGUUGCAAAAGAAGUAGGUAGCUUAACCUUCGGGAGGGCGCUUACCACUUUGUGAUUCAUGACUGGGGUGAAGUCGUAACAAGGUAGGCGUAGCGAG